AGUAGCAAUACUUAGUGGCAGACGGGUGAGUAACAUGUAGGUAUCUGCCCUUUGGCCUGGAAUAACACGAGGAAACUUGUGCUAAUACCGGAUAAGUCUUUACGGAGAAAGCUUUAUGCACCAUUGGAUGAGCCUGCACUUGAUUAGUUUGUUGGUGGGGUAAUGGCCUACCAAGACUGUGAUCAAUAGCUGAUUUGAGAGGAUGAUCAGCCACAUUGGGACUGAGACACGGCCCAAACUCCUACGGGAGGCAGCAGUGGGGAAUCUUGCACAAUGGAGGAAACUCUGAUGCAGCGAUGCCGCGUGAGUGAAGAAGGCCUUUGGGUUGUAAAGCUCUUUCGUCGGGGAAGAAAAUGACUGUACCCGAAUAAGAAGGUCCGGCUAACUUCGUGCCAGCAGCCGCGGUAAUACGAAGGGACCUAGCGUAGUUCGGAAUUACUGGGCUUAAAGAGUUCGUAGGUGGUUGAAAAAGUUGGUGGUGAAAUCCCAGAGCUUAACUCUGGAACUGCCAUCAAAACUUUUCAGCUAGAGUAUGAUAGAGGAAAGCAGAAUUUCUAGUGUAGAGGUGAAAUUCGUAGAUAUUAGAAAGAAUACCAAUUGCGAAGGCAGCUUUCUGGAUCAUUACUGACACUGAGGAACGAAAGCAUGGGUAGCGAAGAGGAUUAGAUACCCUCGUAGUCCAUGCCGUAAACGAUGUGUGUUAGACGUUGGAAAUUUAUUUUCAGUGUCGCAGCGAAAGCGAUAAACACACCGCCUGGGGAGUACGA
Molecule: ribosomal RNA, 767 nt
Filed under: marine metagenome
Description: bacterial SSU rRNA
Rfam family: Bacterial small subunit ribosomal RNA
Source: RNAcentral